Long non-coding RNA from Pipra filicauda (Wire-tailed manakin), 3734 nucleotides. RefSeq lists it as uncharacterized. The record is from RefSeq and is a predicted model, not a curated record. NCBI's taxonomy places the organism in Eukaryota, Metazoa, Chordata, Aves, Passeriformes, Pipridae. The transcript is spliced from 2 exons.
CUGCGCGGGUCGGGGGAAGAAUACACAGCUCAGGGAGAGAACCCAUACAAUGAAAAACGCAAGUACUCGUUGUUUUUCUGCUUCGCUCGAUCCCAGAAGUCGCCGCUGCAACGGACCCGCGUCUAAAGCUGCUCUUUCCAAGCCUCAUAGUCCUGGUGUUCGCCUACACAGCUCCACUAGUGCGACUCAGAAGAGGAGGCGAUGAUCGGGCCCUGCACGGAGGCAGGGUGAUCUAGACAUGAGGUGCAACGCUGCGUGCAGUGCAGUAAAUCAAAUCUCUUCCUCUUCCACUGUUACUCACACAGAAACUAACUGUAUGACUCCACACACUGCAGAUGCAAACAGAAGGCAUUUGGAGGCUGGGCCUCAGCUUUGAGCUGACAGAAGGUGAUGACACCCAGUUUAGUGCAUAAUUCCCUAAUCGCACUUGACAAUCCACACAGGGAUAUUUUGUUACAGAGAGAUACAAUGUGGACUAGGUUUUGAAAAGAAUCUGAUGCCAUUGCAAGGUCCUCAGAUGCCAUUGAAAGGUGAAGGAAGCUGGGCCCCUCCUUCUCUUUUUCCUUCAAAAGUUUCAUCAAAGGCAGAUUCUUCCAUCAACGCACCUUCACAAGAAUGUGUGCACCUAUCAUGCUUCUGGUACAUGAGGGCAUUUGGAAUGAGCACGGAGGAGUUACUCAAAAUUUAUGACAAAACACGUGUCUUCAGACUGUUCUUCAAUCUCGAUGCAUCUCUACAGCCCCAUAAUAUGAAACUGAAUUAAUUAUUAUAAUAUACUAAGGUCUAACUUCUUAUAAAUGUAGACCCAUUCCCUGAACUUCAUUAGAAGAGUAAGGUUACGCAGGCUCGAAAUGUCUGAUCAUCUGAUGUGUAGUAAGAAUAUGUAAGGUCUCCAAAUGCACGAGGCUUGCCUGGGGCUCUGCAAGUGUUGUUUCCCUGAUAAAGAAGGUUUUGCACACACUCUCUGGAGGGAAGGUGAUUCACCAUACCAGGUUGAGACCCAGUACACUGCAGUGUAAGCAACUCAUGAAACUCGGUGGCACACUGUAUGCAAAUCCAGGCAUGACUCAUGCACUUAAUAUAGAAUUGCAAGUAGAUAUUUGCAAUAACUGAGCAGAACUUUGACAUCAUAUCUCCCUUUUCUGUGCAGAAGUACCACGCAGGAGCAAUCCUUUGGUUUUCAACCAAGUGCUCAGUCAGGUACUUCAUCCCAUACAUAUGCUUAAAGCAGGACAGGAGAGUGAUUUAAGCAAGCAAAUAAUUUUAAGCACAAGUUUAAGGUUUUACAUCACCUGCAGUACAUGCUUAGAUGACUUGCUAAAGUGAAGAAUGCCUUUUGUUUUCUGAGUUGGUUUUCCUCCAGCCUGGGGCAUCACAGGUUGUCUUUGCAGAGAACAAUCUUGGACAGAAAUGGGAGAGCCCUGUAAAUUUUCUGUAGCCACCACUAGACUAGAGAGCCCCAUUGUCUGAAUGUGUGGGGCUUCAGGAGUGCUCAGCACGGCUCAGCACCAGUCUGGGAGCAAGAGAGGGGAAGAGAUAGGGACAACAUUCUCACUCCCUAACUUUAGACACGUAAAUUCAGUGCCUGAAUUAGGAGUGUGAUUCCCAGCUGAGCAGUCAUGUACACUGGGAGACAGACAGGCUCCUCCAUAGUGUGACUCAGAAUAACCUUUGAAUCCUAUAGGUGCUCUGAAGGACCACAGCUAUUAAUUUUAAAGGUAACAUAAAUAAAUAUUCAGAGUACUAUAAUUAUCCUUCCUUGAAGAGUUCCAAAUUUGCUGCUCAAAAUCACAAGGGAAGCUUUACUGUGGUGCUUUCACUAGAGACCCCAGAUCCUGCAUUAACCGAGCCCCAUACACACUUUCCUGUUGUGUUACAAAGCCAUCAUUACUUACCUGUCUAGACUGUUCUAAGCUCCCUACAGAGUUAUGGCUAUCUUUUGCAUAAUAAGAGUAGUGUUAUUUUUCCAUUAGUGCAACUGCAGAAACACAGAAUUCUUUAGGAAAAUGUACCCCAGCCGUUAAAGGGAUUAGCAAAUCAACGAAUCUCCCUUCCUCCUCUAUCCCUCUCCAAAACAACCUGCAGUACCAAUACUACUGUGAUAAAAAAUCCAAGCUGAAAUUUAGCUUUAACCUCUGUUCUAGCAAAUUCGUGCUGCAGCUUCUUCCUUCUUGCUGCCAGAAAUUGCUAUGUUCUACCAUCAAAGAGACUUUACAUGGAGUCAUGUAAACAUGUAUGUAUAUUUUUUCUAUGUAAAAGUGAAAGCAAUGAAUUACACUAUCUGCUUAAGCAGUGUUUUUAAUAUCUAGAGGUAUUUUCAGAAAAGUUUCAUUCAAGUAUGGUGCACCACUUUGAGGUAGGGUAUAAGAAAUACAGUGCAAAAGAGGAGAAACUCAUAGCUACAGCUUCUUCCCAAAUCCUCGGUUUUCAGUAUAUAACUCACAAACUGUGAAUUAUCAUGAAGGCAGCUGAGCUCCCUGUUGAACUGUGGAACUGAACUUCGCUUUGCCUUCCCAGGUAAUUGUGAUGCUCUGCAUCCCACCACCAACAUUAUGAAGUAGAGCAGUAAUUUGCCAGGUCUGAUGGAGCUGGCAUAUGGCUCUCCUCUUUGCCUAACAUUUAUAGAUCUGUUUCACAUGAGCACUUUGUGCAUCAGCAUAUGCAAAGCUGCCUGCCCUCAGUUCUAAGCGAGUUUCCUUAUCAGAAUAUAUGGUACUGCAUUAGGCUGCAUGUUUAUGGUUUGAAACAUUGACUUGAUAAUGUGGCUGUAGUCAAACAAAAUGCUACAUGUAACAGCAGCCAAUUCAUUUGUUUUAGGGAAAGAAUAUGACAUCAGAAAGAAAGAGAUAUAUGCUUAGCUACAUUUGAUUGGAGGUAGUCAAAUGGCUGAAAUGAUAUAACCAUUAAGAUAUAUUUUCCUGAUAAACACCCACUUUCACAUAUUAUCUAUUUAUUUUUGUCUGGUAUCUUAAUGGAACUUGGAACAUGUUAGACCUAUCUUUUUUUCCAGUAGGCAUUUACUGCUUUGCUGGAAGCAAAAUUCCUGGUUCUUUCUGGUUACAUUAUCCUCACAAACUUCAAUAAGAGAAGAGAUAUUUUUAAUGAGUACCUGAGUAAUUAAAUAGAACAAUAUUUACAGAAAUUAUCUCUAUUAGUGCCUAGUGGGGUUGGAGUUUGAACUUUUUGUGUCUGCAGUUAGAAAUGUUAGCUAGCCAAGCAAUUGAUUCAGAGUAAAAUACACAUUUCUAGAGUUUUCUCUUUCUAAAACGCUGUUGUGAGCGGCAUGUCUCCUUGGGGCACUGGAACUGGACUUCCUGAAAGGAAAGACUAGAUCAAACUGAAAGGUUUUAGGCUCUGGAGGUACUCUGCAUAAAAACAAAGGUGGUGUUGCAUAAAAACAACUGGUUUUUUUCACUGUAAUUUUUCAGCUAUGACUAUUUUCCGAGCUGAACUAACUCAGAAGACAACUUUCCUUAGGUUUGCAGUGUUUGGAAAACUGCAGUGGCAGAGUCUCUCAGGGACAGCACAGCUCGUCCCGUUGCUCUGAUGCUCACGGAUUUAGGUGUCGCUGUUACCUCCACAGAGUGGUCUGUACCAAGUUACGGAAGAGCUCAAGAGCAAUAACCAGAUGUUCCCCCUUCCCAUGAUUGCGCUCUUUUAAUAAACAGACUAUGUUCUUUCCUUAAUUCUGACACUAAGAUAAUGCAGUAAUAAAUACAGUACUAGAGCCAGUA